CUGCGGAAGGAUCAUUAACACAUGCUUAACGCAUUAAUAAUCCAAAACCUAUGACUAGUUUAUGUGAUGCGCCUGGCACUCGUGUCAGGUGUAAAAUAACCUAAACUUUUCAUUUUAUUCAGUAUAUCUAAUCUAAAAAAUAAGAAAAUUUUCAACGAUGGAUAUCUGGGUUCCCAUAACGAUGAAGAACGCAGCGAAAUGCGAUACGCAAUGCGAAUAGCAGAGCUCCGCGAGACAUCAGAUCUUUGAACGCAAAUGGCGCUGGCUUGCCAGCAUGUUUGUUUCAGUGUGUUAGGAGAGCAAAACUCAUCAUUUAUUUGAAUGCGAUUGAAGUGCCUUGCAUUUCUCUCGUUAAAUAAGAAAGCGCGAGGCUGCUUCGCCUCGUGAACGAAGUAGUCCCAAUUUAUUGUGAUCUCGUUUACGAUGAAGCAUUCCAUCUAAGCGCUUUUCUAAAAUUAUCUCCAAUUUUGACACCUGAAAUCAAGCAAGGCUACCCGCUGAACUU
Molecule: ribosomal RNA, 505 nt
Filed under: Frontonia pusilla
Lineage: Eukaryota; Ciliophora; Oligohymenophorea; Peniculida; Frontoniidae
Description: eukaryotic LSU rRNA
Rfam family: 5.8S ribosomal RNA (bases 147-292)
Source: RNAcentral